CAUUAAUAUUCUCAUUUCUAGCUGAUAAUAAAGUACCAACAAUAUGGUUUGAAGUAAACUCCGAAACAACGAUUCAUCUACUUAGUCAAUCAUGAUGGCCUCUAAAAGAGGGACGAAAGGUCAAACUCAUAAAUCGAAAAUAAACUGACAACGCCAUGGCUAAAAAUGAAAAGGACAAACAGACAAACAAUAGUACACACG
Molecule: long non-coding RNA, 201 nt
Filed under: Mytilus galloprovincialis (Mediterranean mussel)
Lineage: Eukaryota; Metazoa; Mollusca; Bivalvia; Mytilida; Mytilidae
Source: RNAcentral